CAACUACUAAAGCCGAAGAUUGUCAGCAGAAGUCAGCUUUUGAGGGCUCUUUCAUGUAGUGCACCAGGUGUAUUACUACUCUGCGCAAGUCAAGUCUAGGGCGCUGACCAUUCUGCCACUGGUCUGCUGGAUGUGUGGGGAAACAAACACGCUUCCCAUCCCUCCAGAGAAACUGCAAGAGUUUCAGUGCAUUCACCCAGUGUGCCAGGUGUGCAAAGCUGGUGUUGGAGAGCGUACAAGAGUGAAGAGAAAGC
Long non-coding RNA from Branchiostoma belcheri (Belcher's lancelet), 254 nucleotides. RefSeq lists it as uncharacterized. The transcript has 3 exons. The record is from RefSeq and is a predicted model, not a curated record. NCBI's taxonomy places the organism in Eukaryota, Metazoa, Chordata, Leptocardii, Amphioxiformes, Branchiostomatidae.